Molecule: ribosomal RNA, 273 nt
Filed under: uncultured bacterium
Lineage: Bacteria
Description: partial 16S ribosomal RNA
Rfam family: Bacterial small subunit ribosomal RNA
Source: RNAcentral
UACGUAGGGUGCAAGCGUUGUCCGGAAUUAUUGGGCGUAAAGAGCUCGUAGGCGGUCUGUCACGUCGGAUGUGAAAACUCGGGGCUCAACCCCGAGCCUGCAUUCGAUACGGGCAGACUUGAGUUCGGUAGGGGAGACUGGAAUUCCUGGUGUAGCGGUGAAAUGCGCAGAUAUCAGGAGGAACACCGGUGGCGAAGGCGGGUCUCUGGGCCGAAACUGACGCUGAGGAGCGAAAGCGUGGGGAGCGAACAGGAUUAGAUACCCGAGUAGUCC